GACGAACGCUGGCGGCGUGCUUAACACAUGCAAGUCGAGCGGUAAGGCCCUUUCGGGGGUACACGAGCGGCGAACGGGUGAGUAACACGUGGGUGACCUGCCCUCAGCUCUGGGAUAAGCCUGGGAAACCGGGUCUAAUACUGGAUAUGACUCCAUGACGCAUGUUGGUGGGGUGGAAAGCCUUGUGCGGCUGAGGAUGGGCCCGCGGCCUAUCAGCUUGUUGGUGGGGUGAGGCCUACCAAGGCGACGACGGGUAGCCGGCCUGAGAGGGCGACCGGCCACACUGGGACUGAGACACGGCCCAGACUCCUACGGGAAGCAGCAGUGGGAAUCUUGCGCAAUGGGCGAAAGCCUGACGCAGCGACGCCGCGUGAGGGAUGACGGCCU
This 387-nucleotide ribosomal RNA is filed under the name uncultured bacterium. Its description in RNAcentral is "bacterial SSU rRNA". It matches the Rfam family "Bacterial small subunit ribosomal RNA", at positions 28 to 417 of the family's 1533-position model. The record is from RNAcentral.